Cydia splendana is the source of this 1831-nucleotide long non-coding RNA. RefSeq lists it as uncharacterized. The record is from RefSeq and is a predicted model, not a curated record. The transcript is spliced from 3 exons. Lineage: Eukaryota; Metazoa; Arthropoda; Insecta; Lepidoptera; Tortricidae.
UUUGCCAAUGUCGGUGUUGACUUUCACACGUGAGGAGAAUGUUCGGUAUAAUAAUUUUGCAUUUUUGGGAGGAUGUAGUCGGGGAAACCUAAAAACAAAUAAUUGUUAUGAACAUCACAGACAAACACAUGACGAAUACAACGAUUAGCAAAAAAGCGGGAAGCGGAUGACAGAACGUUAGUAGUGCCAACAUGAAGGAAGUGGAAGAGAAGAAAACGAUAUAUAUAAUAUAGAAAUAUAGAGUUUAGAAUAAAACGAGUAUAGAUUGACAUGAAUUAUACGCAUUAAAUUAGAAGAGAUAAGACAAUAUUUAGAGUUUUAUGUUAUUUGUUUGUAAAUAUUUAAUUAGAAUAGAAGUUAGCUUAGUAUCCAUGUGGCAAAGAAGCGAGCUAAAGCAUAUAGGUCGUGGAACAUUUUCGGGUAGUACAUCGUAUAGUGAGUAGCUACAUUUUGUACAAGCAAAGAAGAUGUGGUCCAAGUUGCCCUCAUCCAACCCACAUUCACACAAUGAGUUCGCACGGACACCAAUCAUAGCCAGAAAUAACGGAGUACAUACUUUGCCUAAGCGUAAACGGCAAAUGGUGGAUAUUACCCACUUUGGAGAAGUACGGAAUCGAUAGAACCAUGGUUUUCGAGUAAUUCGAGGUUGUACACAGCCAUAAUGUUUACCAGUCUCCAAUCUAGAGAUAUCCCAUUGCCUCUGCCAUGUAUUAAACAUAUCAGAUAGUGCACAACUCAACAGCCUCAAGAAUAGCAACUGCCUCACCUGUGAAAAUGGACGCUUGAGGAGGACAUUUAAAUGGAAGGACGAUAUUGUACCGUGGAAUCCACACCGCUGCUCCCACACAUCUUGCAGGAUCCACCUUAGAAGCGUCAGUAAAAACCGUGACCUCCAGUGCCAGCGCCUGCAAGCGUGGGAGCAGCAAGUGGUUGUUGUAAGAGCUGGCUUUGAUCAAGAACCUGUCGGCGAGGUAUUGUCUGCGUAGAGCCAACGGCGGUUCAACACCUUCCACCUGCAUGCCAUUUUUGGGAGAGGGAAGCAUAGCACCUAGUAUGAUCCUUAAACAUUUAGCCUGUAUAAGAUCUAAUUUAUCUAGACCAUCCUUAUUACAGGGUUCCAUUAAAAAUGCCCCAUAGUCUAUAUGGCUACGUAUGAUGGCAUUGUAUAGUAGCUUCUGGCAAUAAGGAUGGGAACCCCACCAGACACCCGACAAUGCUCGAAGAAUAUUAAUAUUUUUCUCACAUUUACCCAGUACAUAUUUGUGGUGUGAGGUGCCAGACAUUUUAUGAUCUAAAAUAACACCUAGAAAUUUUACUGACUCUUUAUUUGGAAUCAUCACACCACCAUAACGGACAUCUGCGUCAGGCAUGGUCCUUCUGCGACUGAAAGUCACUACACAGCUUUUUGUUGGCGAUAGGGUCAAACCAUGUUCAUCAAGCCAAUCCUUGAGGUAACCCAAAGCUGUAUUAAGACUAGCAGUGGCUUUGUCCAUUGACUUUGCUGAGGUGUAUAAGACUAGGUCAUCAGCAUACUGCAAGAUAUUACAGAAGGAUAGGACAGAUUGCUCCAAGUCGUAGGUGUAGAUACUGUAAAGCAGGGGGCUGAGUACCGAUCCUUGCGGGAGACCACGCCACAAAGUUCGAGGUGGGUAAUAGGAAUUACCAUUCCUAAUUUUAAUUGACCUACCCAUGAACAAUUUGGUGACAAUAUGUACAAUCUUCGCGGGAAUGCUCAGAUGUAGCAUUUUUGCCCUGAGCACCGGAAGAAGGACAUUGUCGUAGGCCGCAGAGAUAUCUAGAAAACAUCCCAGCAGAUAUUCGUUUUUUGAAA